Molecule: non-coding RNA, 4217 nt
Organism: Tetranychus urticae (two-spotted spider mite)
Lineage: Eukaryota; Metazoa; Arthropoda; Arachnida; Trombidiformes; Tetranychidae
Source: RefSeq, a predicted model, not a curated record
GGGAAGACGAAGCCAUCUUGAUUGAGCUUUUGUUUUUAACCAUAUUUGUGUAACCAUCUGUUAAUUUAAUUAAUCCAUGUUAAAUCAUUUGAUCAUUUGUUUUUAAUGUUAUUUUUAUCAAAUUGUCAAUGAACUUGCUUUACUUUUGUGAUAAUCAUGAUGAUAAUGAACUGGUAAUUAUUUGUUAAAAUUGUAACUUUGAGGACUUUCAAUAUUUACAGAUGGCUUUCAACAAUCCUUACCAAGGGUAAAAAGGAAACAAUCAAAUGAAGGAAUAUGUUAUAAAAUUUUACGCUGGUAACUUUCAAUGGAUUGAAAUUGAGUAAACAUGGAUCUGUAUGUUUCUCGUUGUUCCCAUCAAUGUUGCAAGUUAAUCAAGAUUGCUUCCUAAUUGGAACUGGAAGUUAUUUCAUCGUUAUCAAUUAAAUCAUACAUUAAUUACAGCCUCAAGUUUGGUCAAGAUUUAGGAUGGAAGGAAAGUGAAAACAUUUUUACGGUGGAAAACAAGUAAAAAAUUGAUGACAGGUUAAGAAGACAGGUUUUACCUUUUUGUCUGGACUUUUUUUUCGGUAGGUAAAGAGGAAAGAUGACAAAAUUUAUGGUUCUUCUGAUAAUGUUAUGAACUGGUUUUACUCCCAUCAUCAUGAUCAUCUUUGAUUUUAAGUUAAAAAGAAAGGUACAUCUUUUAUGGAUUUCUAUUAAAAUAUUCAAUUUUGAACCAUUUUUCAUCUUCAACCUUUUUGCAAAUAUUCAGUUAAAUUGCAACGAUGUCCAAUUUUGUUGGUUAAUUGUCAUUUUGUGUAUCCCACAGGAUUUUGACAUGAACUCUUUUUUACUCACAAACAAACUACACUGUAUAUAUAUACUGUCUAUGGGCUUCUAUGUGUACUUGUUGCUGUCUUACCCGGUCCUAAUCGUGAUGAACUGAUGAAGAUGAUGAUAACUUUAGGCUUGAUCUGGCAGAAUGAAAUGAUGAUGAUGGAGAAGAAGAAAGUUAAGGCUCAAAAUGAAAGCUUUGUUCGUAUAAAAAAAUCUUUUUUUUGAGUAAAAAAGUGAAACCACAAGUGAAAAAUAGUCUUUCGUUUUUGACAGAAAAACAACAACGAGGAGAAAAACGAUGAUUUGAUGUAGUUGGUGGUGAUGGUGAUGAGGACGAUGAAGAUGAUGAUGGGAGAAGAUGAGAGGUAAAAGUUAUCUAAUAACAACACCACCGCUGGAUCCCUUAGCCUCUCCUUGAUCACGUUUCUUGCAGUUUUCAUAGUCAAAGUAAUAGGAACAUGAAGGAAAAAAGAUAAACCUGAUGAGGGAUCAAGAAAUGGAAUCGCUUUGGUGCAAAAAGGGAGUGUUUAUCAUUUCUCUUACGAAAAAUCUUCUUUUUUCUCCUUCUUGGCCACUUUCUUUCUCAUCCUGGAGGAGAUGAAAAAAAUGGAUGAUUAUGCUGAACCUUUUUUUUGCAGCCUUGCUAAUAACCUAUCAACCAAGAAAGAAACUCACUUUACAGCAAUACGAUUUUUUUCCGAAAAGGUCAAGAUGGUCAAAGUUGGAGGGCAAAGAUUUGGUUUUAUGUUUCUCUUGUUUUUACUGGCUAAACUGAAGUAACCCAAGCUAUUCAAUCGUUUGCAUUCAUUUCUUGGUCUUCACGGUUGAUGAAUAAUUUUUGGCCGAUGAAAAGAAUGAUUAACUGAAUCUCCUUCAAUCAAUUGAUUACUAAUGUUGAUGGAAAGACCCCUGAAGUGAGAAAUGAUGAUGAUAAGAAUUCUGAUAAAGGUGAGAGAAUAUCUAAAAGGAAAAGGUUUUCUCCAAAUGCUGGCCAACUUAUUAUUUAACCAAUGGUAUCCAUUAAUUCAAAAUGAAAAACCGACUCACUCUCACUAACUUAUCAUCUCACCCUCUCUCCCACUCUUCAUCUCCUUUGCUCCAAGUGUGAGCCUCAUAAGGUAAAGACGUUGUUGGUGGGUGAAAUGUAAAGAGGGUUUCCCAAAAGCCAAAAGACCACUUAACAAGUUGAUGAACGCCCAACCCUUAACUGAAUUAAUGAUGAUAAUAUAACAGCCAAUUUGAUUCCUUAUUUUUGAUCCUCAUCUUUACAUUCCCUUGUAAUGAGAGUCAAGGUUGUUAAGAUUCAGUUAUUGGAAAAUCAUUUGAUAAGCUUUAAAAUUCAAUAAGCUCGUAGUAAAUCAGGACUAGAAACAAAACAAAAGCUACAUUUUAUCAACCAACAAGGAAUUGGAUUAAGAACGUUGAAAAGGAUGAAUUUUGCUUUUCUCGUGAGUUCUGUAAUUCUUGUACUUUUCAAUUUUGGCCAUUCUGAUCAACAUCACAUUGAUUAUAUACAGUGAUUCUGGUAAAACGCAGUGUUAAUACGGAGCGAUGGAUUCGGUGAUACACUAGUAGUCAGGGUUAAGUUAAGAAAAGUGGCGAUUUUUUUCAUAGUCGCCAUCUAACAAGAAACAAAAGUACCUUUAAGAUCGAAUUUAAUUUUCAUAGAUUUCAUUGUUUUGUGUUACUUAAAGCGAUAAAUACUCGAGAUGGCGACACUUAAAAAUUAACUUAAAUCUGACCCUUUUUUAUUAACUUAACCCUGACUACUAGUGUAGGAGAAAUGAUGGCAGAGCAAUUUUAAAAUGAUGAUAUUAUUCAAUAUUCACUUGUUAAUGUCAAUGUUUGGUGAUUUGAUUAUCCUGAUGUAAACAUACGCUAUCAAUAAUAAUAGGAAACCAUGAAAAGGUUUUCUUUUGUUUGCUCACCAUUAAUCUCUUUACAUCCUUAUCCUUUAUAAGACACAUCAAGUUGAUGAUGUUGAAUGUGAUGAUGAUGAUAAGCGAGUUUGGUGCUCUUGAUAGCUGUACAAGUUUAAUCACUGAAAAAGGAAUCACCUUAAUCUUGAAUGGUAAUGCUGAAACACAAACUCAUCCUCACAUUUUGCUACUCUUUACAUCAUCACUUGUUCAUUUGCUAAUUUAGCUACUUAAUCUGCCUCUUCACCGAGAGAAUCAGCAAAAUGUAAUUUCACUCCCGUGGUUACCUAAACAAACAACAACUAUCACCAACACAACUCUAAAUGGGUUUAGGCCUGGGGCUGCUCACAUUAUUACCGCUUAUUACUGCUUCUUGGCGUUGCUGUGUUGUUGAUAUUUAUUAUUUGAUUAUUAUUGUUAUUAUUACAUCAACAAACAUCAACAUGGAACCUUAAUUCAUUUCAUUCAGUUGACCAGAUCAGCGAUCCAGGAAAGAAAAAUAACAUUUUUCUUUUUGUUGCUGUGAAAGUUGUUGACUGUUGACUGGAGAGUUACCAUGGAAUGAGUUUCAUUUCACACCAUUGAGAAGUCAUUAAUUUAAUCUAUUCUGACUGCAAUAGAGAGUCAAAAUUAACAGACAAAUGAAAGAAUUAAAAGUUAAUGCCAAUGAUUAACCUUUCAUCAACAAAUAAUUUCAUUUUCUGGGAACCAAACAUUGAGCUUUCCUUCCAAUUAUCAAGCGCAAGUUAAUCUAUUUCAUCCACUUUUCUUUACUCUCAGUGAACAUUAUCUAAUUAUUGUUCAUUCAAUAUACCGUAAGUUAUCAUGUUUUACUCAAUGUUUCUUCACAUCAAACAUGGUAUAAACAAGUUGAGAUAUUAUUGACCCGCCUGUUGAAGAUAAUCUAACCUUUCACUGUCACAACACCACUCAAAACCAAUCAAACAAAUUUCAAGUUAAUAUUAACUGUUUUUAUGUUUCCGUUGACAGUUUAAUCGCGCCGUUGGACCAAGUUGCAUCCGUUGGUUGAUGACUUUUUUUAAUAUCAUCAUUCUCAUCUCCAUCUUCAGCAUCAUCUUCAUCGUCAUCUUGCCCAAUCUCUCACGGUUUCUCAAAGUGUCUGGUCACUUUCCAAUUUUUUCCUUCCCUUUAUAACAGCCAUUUUAAUGUUGGCCAGCCUUGAACAGUUUUUUUGUUCAUAAUCAAAUUGUUAUCAUUACCAUUCUUAGAUUUCUCUCAUCAUCUUUCAUUUCAUUCUUUCUCCUCCUCUUCAGCAUUCUCAUCCUUUCUCAAACACUUUAAGAAGGCAGCAAAAAAAUGAAAAAAAAGGAAAGGAAAACAACUCAAACCACUAAUAACUCUCUUUUCAGAUCUCCCUGUUUUAUCAUCAUAAUCAUCUUUAUCUCUGUAACCUGCUUUACUUUGCUUUUCACACUCAAUCUUUAAUAUAAUUUUAUUUGGGUUCCUAAGACCUUUUAA